This 1081-nucleotide ribosomal RNA is filed under the name Salmonella enterica. Its description in RNAcentral is "bacterial SSU rRNA". It matches the Rfam family "Bacterial small subunit ribosomal RNA", at positions 1 to 1071 of the family's 1533-position model. Lineage: Bacteria; Pseudomonadati; Pseudomonadota; Gammaproteobacteria; Enterobacterales; Enterobacteriaceae. RNAcentral also lists the same sequence under 1 other name. The record is from RNAcentral.
AAAUUGAAGAGUUUGAUCAUGGCUCAGAUUGAACGCUGGCGGCAGGCCUAACACAUGCAAGUCGAACGGUAACAGGAAGCAGCUUGCUGCUUUGCUGACGAGUGGCGGACGGGUGAGUAAUGUCUGGGAAACUGCCUGAUGGAGGGGGAUAACUACUGGAAACGGUGGCUAAUACCGCAUAACGUCGCAAGACCAAAGAGGGGGACCUUCGGGCCUCUUGCCAUCAGAUGUGCCCAGAUGGGAUUAGCUUGUUGGUGAGGUAACGGCUCACCAAGGCGACGAUCCCUAGCUGGUCUGAGAGGAUGACCAGCCACACUGGAACUGAGACACGGUCCAGACUCCUACGGGAGGCAGCAGUGGGGAAUAUUGCACAAUGGGCGCAAGCCUGAUGCAGCCAUGCCGCGUGUAUGAAGAAGGCCUUCGGGUUGUAAAGUACUUUCAGCGGGGAGGAAGGUGUUGUGGUUAAUAACCGCAGCAAUUGACGUUACCCGCAGAAGAAGCACCGGCUAACUCCGUGCCAGCAGCCGCGGUAAUACGGAGGGUGCAAGCGUUAAUCGGAAUUACUGGGCGUAAAGCGCACGCAGGCGGUCUGUCAAGUCGGAUGUGAAAUCCCCGGGCUCAACCUGGGAACUGCAUUCGAAACUGGCAGGCUUGAGUCUUGUAGAGGGGGGUAGAAUUCCAGGUGUAGCGGUGAAAUGCGUAGAGAUCUGGAGGAAUACCGGUGGCGAAGGCGGCCCCCUGGACAAAGACUGACGCUCAGGUGCGAAAGCGUGGGGAGCAAACAGGAUUAGAUACCCUGGUAGUCCACGCCGUAAACGAUGUCUACUUGGAGGUUGUGCCCUUGAGGCGUGGCUUCCGGAGCUAACGCGUUAAGUAGACCGCCUGGGGAGUACGGCCGCAAGGUUAAAACUCAAAUGAAUUGACGGGGGCCCGCACAAGCGGUGGAGCAUGUGGUUUAAUUCGAUGCAACGCGAAGAACCUUACCUGGUCUUGACAUCCACAGAAUUCUGCAGAGAUGCGGAAGUGCCUUCGGGAACUGUGAGACAGGUGCUGCAUGGCUGUCGUCAGCUCGUGUUGUGAA